ACAGCACACUCCUUCAAAGUAUCAAAUAUGCCCUCAAUGCUAUCAUCUUUCAUGCACACAAGAAAGCAGCUACUCAAUUGUGGCUGGGGUGUUCCAGCAUUGAAAAGCGUAGGGGUAGCAUGUGUGAACCAACGCUGAGACAUCAAGUAGUAUGUUUUGACAACGGAGUCAAUGUCAUCUUUGUGGAUACCAACAGCAACCCUCAUCAACAUGUGUUGUGGUCUUUCUACAAUUUUCCCAUUAACCUUCAAAAGGUAGGACCUCUCAAGAGUUUUGAAGCCAAAGUAAUCAUAGUCA
RNAcentral lists this unclassified non-coding RNA (297 nucleotides) under Hevea brasiliensis (rubber tree). Lineage: Eukaryota; Viridiplantae; Streptophyta; Magnoliopsida; Malpighiales; Euphorbiaceae. The record is from RNAcentral.